UACGUAGGGUGCGAGCGUUAAUCGGAAUUACUGGGCGUAAAGCGUGCGCAGGCGGUUCGUUGUGUCGGCGGUGAAAGCCCCGGGCUCAACCUGGGAAUGGCCGUUGAAACUGGCGAACUGGAGUGUGGCAGAGGGGGGUGGAAUUCCGCGUGUAGCAGUGAAAUGCGUAGAGAUGCGGAGGAACACCGAUGGCGAAGGCAGCCCCCUGGGCUGACACUAACGCUCAGGCACGAAAGCGUGGGGAGCAAACAGG
Molecule: ribosomal RNA, 253 nt
Filed under: uncultured bacterium
Lineage: Bacteria
Description: partial 16S ribosomal RNA
Rfam family: Bacterial small subunit ribosomal RNA
Source: RNAcentral